Molecule: long non-coding RNA, 566 nt
Filed under: Zea mays
Lineage: Eukaryota; Viridiplantae; Streptophyta; Magnoliopsida; Poales; Poaceae
Description: drought responsive lncRNA
Source: RNAcentral
CUUUCUCCCUCUACAUACCAUCCGCGUCCUCCGACUGGUCGUGCGUGGAGCUUCUACAACCUCAGGUGGCAUCUGGCUUCUGCGCAGGCCACAUCCCAUCCGCCCAUAAACAGGAAGGAAGACGUCGCCGCCUAGAUUCACCAAACGAACUGACCGACCUUUGUCUCGAUCCUCCUAUCAUGCUCCGACCAGCUCGUCUCCUCAGGUAUGUCUCCACUCCGCCUCUUUGUUUCGCUCCAUGCUCCAUCCGAGGAGCUCCUUCUCAGGAGAGGACUAUGAACGGGAGCCAAAGUGCCCCAGCUAGCGAGACAACGGCUUCACCAUAAGCCAGAACGUUCCAAGCUCCCGAUCAUCUCUCAUGGGAUGCAUGCCAUGUCAGCCCAACUGGUCCUGUCUCUCGCGACUGUAGAAAGGCAGCAACAUUUCCUUACUACUUAGUAUUUGCAAUAACUAUAUAUUUGUGGGGGGAAAUGUUUUUUAUGCUAUGAAUUUUAGGAUUCCAAUUUGUUGCUCACUUGCUCGUGUAUGAUCGUGUAUGAUGUACUGAUUAGUUGCUAGCUUCCCAC